UACAGAGGUCCCAAGCGUUGUUCGGUUUCAUUGGGCGUAAAGGGCGCGUAGGCGAUCAGCACAAGUCAGUUGUGAAAUCUCCGGGCUUAACCCGGAAAGGUCAACUGAUACUGUGCGACUAGAGUGCGGAAGGGGCAACUGGAAUUCUCGGUGUAGCGGUGAAAUGCGUAGAUAUCGAGAGGAACACCUGCGGCGAAGGCGGGUUGCUGGGCCGACACUGACGCUGAUGCGCGAAAGCCAGGGGAGCGAACGGG
Molecule: ribosomal RNA, 254 nt
Filed under: uncultured bacterium
Lineage: Bacteria
Description: partial 16S ribosomal RNA
Rfam family: Bacterial small subunit ribosomal RNA
Source: RNAcentral